UACAGAGGUCCCAAGCGUUGUUCGGAUUCACUGGGCGUAAAGGGUGCGUAGGUGGUGAGGUAAGUCGGAUGUGAAAGCUCCGAGCUCAACUCGGAAAUGGCAUUGGAAACUACCUUGCUCGAGGGUUUGAGGGGGGACUGGAAUACUUGGUGUAGCAGUGAAACGCGUAGAUAUCAAGUAGAACACCAGUGGCGAAGGCGAGUCCCUGGAAAACUCCUGACACUGAGGCACGAAAGCUAGGGGAGCAAACAGG
This 253-nucleotide ribosomal RNA is filed under the name uncultured bacterium. RNAcentral describes it as "partial 16S ribosomal RNA". It matches the Rfam family "Bacterial small subunit ribosomal RNA", at positions 524 to 776 of the family's 1533-position model. The record is from RNAcentral.